ACGCUCGACACCUACGGGAGACAGCAGUAGGGAAUCUUCCACAAUGGGCGCAAGCCUGAUGGAGCAACACCGCGUGAGUGAAGAAGGGUUUCGGCUCGUAAAGCUCUGUUGUUGGAGAAGAACGUGCGUGAGAGUAACUGUUCACGCAGUGACGGUAUCCAACCAGAAAGUCACGGCUAACUACGUGCCAGCAGCUGCGGUAAUCUGAGCGGGCUGGCAAGGC
Molecule: ribosomal RNA, 223 nt
Filed under: uncultured bacterium
Lineage: Bacteria
Description: partial 16S ribosomal RNA
Rfam family: Bacterial small subunit ribosomal RNA
Source: RNAcentral